AUUUUAUUCAACAGCAAAUAUCUGCUGAAAGGCUAUAUGCUUUGUCUUACACAGUACAUUUUAGAGUGGCCAAACUCUAAACACUGCGUGGGUGUGUUUGCUCUUAGAUGGUGGAACAUAAGGAGUGUCUGGCGCUGCAGGUUCAGAAGCUGACUCUGGACUGUGAGAUGUACCAGCAGAAGAGCACUGUCAUACAGAGCCAACUGAGGGAGCUACAGGCAGAGAGAGACCACGUACGAAGCUAUUACCUUAUACCUUAUUGCUCAUCCUGAAAUCUAUUAUUGGAAUGCCAUACCUGUCUGUCUGUCUGUCUGUCUGUCUGCCUGCCUGCCUGCCUGCCUACAUACCUGUCUGUAUAUCCUGCCUGUCUGUCUGCCUAUAUCCACCUAUCUGCAUACUGACCUGCCGGCAUAUCUGUCUUUGCUAGUCAGUCCACAUACACUGAGUGUACAAAACAUUAGGAACACCUGCUCUUUCCUUGACAUAAACUGACCAAGUGAAUCCAGUUGAAACCUACCUCUUAUUGAUGUCACUUGUUAAAUCCACUUUAAUCAGUGUAGAUGAAGGGGAGGAGACAGGUUAAAGAAGGAUUUUGACGCCUUGAGACAACUGAGACAUGCGUAUGUGUGCCAUUCAGAGGGUGAAUGGGAAAGACAAAAGAUUUAAGUGCCUUUGAACGGCGUAUGGUAGUAGGUGUCGGGUUGUGUCAAGAACUGCAACACAGCUGGGGGGGCGGGGUAUAACUCAAUAUCAGGAAGGUGUCCUUAAUGUUUUCAAAACUCAUUGUAUGUGUGUAUGACUUAUUGCCGCCCUAUGUGUCUGUCUGUCCAUCCUUCCAGGCGUACCUGUCCAGAGACGAGGCCCAGGCCCAGAUAGCCAGGAGCCUGGCUGAGAAGGACACGCUGCGCAGCCAACUGGUGGAGCUCCAGGAGGUCUUCACCCUCAGGGCCUGCGGGGCCUACCGAGGAGGCCCCAACACGCCAGGGGAGAGGACGUUUAGCUGGGAGAGCCAGGGCUCCAGCAGUGACAGCCUUCCCUCCAGCCCCCCACCUCGGCCCCGCCUCCGCCGCAUGCAUGCAAUUUGCCUUGAUUCCUUGGGGGAAUGCAGUAUAAAGAGUGGCGAUAUCACUCCAAGUAGUGUCCGGUCCCAAAAUGUGGAGCCUCCAUGCCCAGAGUCACUGCGGAGACGAGAAGAGACCCUAUGGUACAAUCGAGACAGGUAAGGGGUGUGUGUGUUUAAGACAAUGUGUGUGUUUAAGACACAGUCCGACUCCUCAUUCAGAACCAGUUGAACAUUUACACAGUAGCACAGUUGGUGUGCUUCCUUCUAUAUUCCGAGUGAUGUGAUGUCACUGUCCAAAGUCUGCUUUUUUUACCAGGAAGGCCAUGUGUUUACUCUGUGUGUUGCCGGGAAUAGCUUCAUUUCAAGGCUUUAAUCCCAGCGUCCCCGGCACUUCUUUCUGUUCUAGUAACAUGAGACCAUUCUACAACAGAGCCAUUUCACUAUUAAAGCUGUGUAGAGGUAGAUUUGAUCUUCCUAUAAACUAUGUGGGGUCUCUCUCUGUGUCCCAAAUGGCAUUCUAUUCCCUAUAUAGUACAGUAGUUUUGACCAGAGCCCUAUGGGUCCUGGUCAAAAGUAGUGCACUAUAUAGGGAUUAGGGUGCCAUUGGAAACGCACCCUUGGUGGUCAUAUUUGAUCGAGGAUUCAGGUGUUUUUUUAAAAACUAAUUAUAGGUUGUUGUCACAGGUGAAUGGCUGCCCAUGUUCAUGUUUAUUGUCGUAGCUUUGUGUUUACAGUGAAGACAAAAGUCUGU
This 1814-nucleotide long non-coding RNA is filed under the name Salmo trutta (river trout). Its description in RNAcentral is "lncRNA (ENSSTUG00000031392.1)". The record is from RNAcentral. Lineage: Eukaryota; Metazoa; Chordata; Actinopteri; Salmoniformes; Salmonidae.